CCUACGGGGUGCAGCAGUGAGGAAUAUUGGUCAAUGGGCGUAAGCCUGAACCAGCCAAGUCGCGUGAGGGAUGAAGGUUCUAUGGAUCGUAAACCUCUUUUAUAAGGGAAUAAAGUGUGGGACGUGUCCUGUUUUGUAUGUACCUUAUGAAUAAGGAUCGGCUAACUCCGUGCCAGCAGCCGCGGUAAUACGGAGGAUCCGAGCGUUAUCCGGAUUUAUUGGGUUUAAAGGGUGCGUAGGCGGCCUUUUAAGUCAGCGGUGAAAGUCUGUGGCUCAACCAUAGAAUUGCCGUUGAAACUGGGAGGCUUGAGUAUGUUUGAGGCAGGCGGAAUGCGUGGUGUAGCGGUGAAAUGCUUAGAUAUCACGCAGAACCCCGAUUGCGAAGGCAGCCUGCCAAGCCAUGACUGACGCUGAUGCACGAAAGCGUGGGGAUCAAACAGGAUUAGAUACACCAGUAGUC
RNAcentral lists this ribosomal RNA (460 nucleotides) under uncultured bacterium. RNAcentral describes it as "partial 16S ribosomal RNA". It matches the Rfam family "Bacterial small subunit ribosomal RNA", at positions 338 to 795 of the family's 1533-position model. The record is from RNAcentral.